GAUGAACGCUGGCGGCGUACCUAAUACAUGCAAGUCGAGCGAACAGACGAGGAGCUUGCUCCUUCGACGUUAGCGGCGGACGGGUGAGUAACACGUAGGUAACCUACCUAUAAGACUGGGAUAACUUCGGGAAACCGGAGCUAAUACCGGAUAAUAUUUCGAACCGCAUGGUUCGAUAGUGAAAGAUGGCUUUGCUAUCACUUAUAGAUGGACCUGCGCCGUAUUAGCUAGUUGGUAAGGUAACGGCUUACCAAGGCAACGAUACGUAGCCGACCUGAGAGGGUGAUCGGCCACACUGGAACUGAGACACGGUCCAGACUCCUACGGGAGGCAGCAGUAGGGAAUCUUCCGCAAUGGGCGAAAGCCUGACGGAGCAACGCCGCGUGAGUGAUGAAGGUCUUCGGAUCGUAAAACUCUGUUAUUAGGGAAGAACAAACGUGUAAGUAACUGUGCACGUCUUGACGGUACCUAAUCAGAAAGCCACGGCUAACUACGUG
Molecule: ribosomal RNA, 497 nt
Filed under: uncultured bacterium
Lineage: Bacteria
Description: partial 16S ribosomal RNA
Rfam family: Bacterial small subunit ribosomal RNA
Source: RNAcentral